This 739-nucleotide long non-coding RNA is filed under the name Capra hircus (goat). RNAcentral describes it as "lncRNA (ENSCHIG00000007392.1)". The record is from RNAcentral. Lineage: Eukaryota; Metazoa; Chordata; Mammalia; Artiodactyla; Bovidae.
GCCACAAACACCAGUUUCUAUUUCCUGCAAGCAUUGUGUGAUCUCACAGAGCCCUGGAUUUACAUACAGCGUAUCAAUGUCUGGUUAACCACUUUCCUCGCUGCUGGAAAGCUCUGAUGACUCAGGAAUCAUUUUAACACUACUCAUUCCUGUCAGGGUUGGGAACCUCAGGGGAUCCUCAGGAUUAAAAGAAGCUGUAAAAAGAUGGUUCAUUCUACAUGGAGAGCAGAUCCUGGCCAUUGGUUAUGAAAUGGAGGUGGAAACUAAAGUCGAAGAGCGUAUUUAAGUUUGGAAGAACAUUAUGCAUUGUUAUAGACAAGUCCUGCUAUGAAGAGAAUAGCAGAACAGGUUCCUUCCAUUCUGUGGUUCAUCUCCUAGCCAUGGGGUCAUCUGCUUACAGCCAGUAGAAGAAGCGUAGAGAAGACAUGCUUACUUCUUUACCAUGAAGAAGUGAUUCCAUGUCACUUCCCACAUUCCACUGAUUAGAACAUUGCCAUAUCUGGAUGGAAGUAUGACCAGAAUAUACUGUCCCUGCCUGGGUAGCCACCCUGCAGUGACAAGUUUACACCUUGGAAGGGGAAACACAAAGGUUUGCUUUUGACAGCCAAUUACCACAGACAUCUUUGGCAAUUCACUAAGCAAUUCAUGGGGAUACUUCUGUCGGAGAAAUUUUCUGCUUGGUCUCUGAAACCUAUGGCUAAAUUCUCUAUAUCAUUCUGAUCCCUACUGCUACCUUAAG